Molecule: transfer RNA, 73 nt
Filed under: Felis catus (domestic cat)
Lineage: Eukaryota; Metazoa; Chordata; Mammalia; Carnivora; Felidae
Rfam family: tRNA
About the family: Transfer RNA (tRNA) molecules are approximately 80 nucleotides in length.
Source: Rfam by way of RNAcentral
GCCCAGCUGGCUCAGUCAGUAGAGCAUGAGACUCUUAAUCUUGGGGUUAUGAGUUCGAGCCCCACAUUGGGUG